ACCAUGAAUGAAGACAAAACACCUUCUGAAGCAGAGUUAUUAAGAGACAACACCAAGAUCUCCUAACAAUCUGGCAACGAAUUCAAAAGUAAUAAUGGCUGCAUUUCAUCAUCUAUAGUUAAUUUCUUAAUACUCAAUUGAUUUACCAAAUCUUUGAAUUCACUCAGAUGUUCCGUUAUUGACUAUCCAACUUGCAACUUCAUAUUCAUCAACUUUCUAAUAACAAAAUAUUUAUUUUGAGCAUUU
This 246-nucleotide long non-coding RNA is filed under the name Carica papaya (papaya). RNAcentral describes it as "long non-coding RNA (CPAP_LNC006966)". The record is from RNAcentral. Lineage: Eukaryota; Viridiplantae; Streptophyta; Magnoliopsida; Brassicales; Caricaceae.